This 831-nucleotide long non-coding RNA is filed under the name Malus domestica (apple). Its description in RNAcentral is "long non-coding RNA (MDOM_LNC000186)". The record is from RNAcentral. Lineage: Eukaryota; Viridiplantae; Streptophyta; Magnoliopsida; Rosales; Rosaceae.
AUACAACUAAGCUUAGUGGAUUUAGGUUGCUUCAGGUACUCAUGUGUAAGUGCUUCGGGACCAUGAAAGGGAGUCAGCAGUUCAAAGAAAAGAAAUAAAAUAUUGAAUCGUUAAUGUAUAAAAGUAGGUUUCAGGCAAAUAAUUUUGGAUGUCAUGUCAGAUUAAUGGACAACUGGUCACUUUUAAUUAAUUCAAUAGAUUGGACCAUAUGGGGUUGAACGUAGAAGCAAAAAUAAUAUUUGUCUAUGCCAUUUAUUAUGUAAUGUUGGAUGUAGGCCACACAAGAAAAAUAAGGCCCAAAUUUGGCUCGGAUUAAAUGAAUAACAAACCCAGAAAAACCUAGGUUGCAAGCUUAAGCAAAGAAAUAACCCAAUAAUAAUUUUUGGGCUGUGAGGGACAGCAUCCCAGCAUCAGGCUGGCUACGGGCUGAAACAGAAGAGAAACCAACCCAGAUUGGACUGGGGGUAUUGGGAUGUUGCGUGCCCAUAUAUGUUGAUCCAAGGCAAGCUCAAAACUAGAAGCUCAAAAUCUGGAAAAUGAUUCCAAGCCCAAAUAGUGGGUUAGGGUUGCACGUGGGCUGAGCACCGAGAGGCCCAAGGCCUAGAUGGGUUGAUCCAAAAACAACCCAGCGAUGUUGGGAGUGUGCAAGUCGGAGAAAACGGUGGCACCACCACUGAUAGUGGUGGUCAUAGAUGGCGAGACAAGCUAGGGUUUUUCACGACGGAGGAGCUUCUCGACAUCGAUGGUAAUGGGAGUGUUCCAAAACUAGUGAGAUUCAAAAUGGGAUUUCACAAUUUCAUCAAGAUUCAACUGGAAUCUCGAGGUUUGAAG